Misgurnus anguillicaudatus (oriental weatherfish) is the source of this 1507-nucleotide non-coding RNA. The record is from RefSeq and is a predicted model, not a curated record. NCBI's taxonomy places the organism in Eukaryota, Metazoa, Chordata, Actinopteri, Cypriniformes, Cobitidae.
UAGAAGGUGACGUUCUCGCGACCUUUCGCAACGUUCCCUAAAAGUUCUCUAAAGAGGAUGAAAAGACCUGAACCUUUAGAGAACAUUAGGUACAUUCCUAAAACGUCCUUUGUUGGUUAUAAAAGUCUUGCAGUUCAAGGUUCCUCAUGUGACUUUAGGGGGACGCCCGAGACAUUUACAGAACAUUCCCACAUGGUACUAUUUUGGUCAUAUCAUAACGUUCCUGAUAUGACUGUAUGAUGAUGUUCCAUAUUGGUUAUCCUGUGGUCACAUAAGAACGUUACAGAAAGGACAUAUGGAACAUUAACAGAACAUUCCCACAUGGUACUAUUUUGGUUAUAUCAUAACGUUCCUGAUAUGACUGUAGGAUGACGUUCCAUAUUGGUUAUCCUGUGGUCACAUAAGAACGUUACAGAAAGGACUUUUGGAACAUUUACAGAACCAUCCUACAUGGUCCUCUGUUGGUCAUAUAAUAUUGUUCCUGAUAUGACUUUAGGGGGACGUCCCAUAUUGGUUAUCCUGUGGUCACAUGGCAACGUUACAAAGAGGACAUUUGGAACAUUAAUAGAAUGUUCUCACAUGGUCCUCUGUUGGUCAUUUAAUAAUGUUCCUGAUAUCAGGAGGACAAAAUAUGAAAUUACAGUUAGAGCAUUUUAUUUUUAUAGGCAGUUAAUAAAAAGGAUGUGUCAAUGUGCAGUGGACCAUACAAACAAAGUAAUAAAUAAAUGAUUUCAGAAUGAAGAAAAAUAAAUGAGUGAUUCAGUCUGCACUAUCGUACAUCAGACAAAGACAAAUAAUAAUUAAAUAAGACUUUACAUUACAUUGUGUUAACAAGCACAAAAAAUACUAGUAAAUAAUACUAUACUAAUAUGUAUUAUGUUGUACUCUCUGAAUAUAAUGAUGUAGAUUGCAAUGUAUCUUGGAAACAGUAGUCAGUUAACAGCAAAGCGUUCAAUCCGCUUUAUGAAAAGAACUACCUUUCCCAUAAUGCAACAGCUUACAAGAGGACCCGGAAGUCACAUGAAAUUCAAACUGCCACACUUGACGACGCGUGAUCUUUGUUUUGUCUUUAUAUAAUACUGUAAGAAGUCAUGUACCACACAUUGUCAAACCUGAAGAAGUGUAUCUUCCUGCAAUCUAAAGAAGGCUCCAGACCUGGAGAUUGAAGUUCCUAAAGGUUGAUGUUUAUCAAGCUUGUGACCUUAUCACAUGGUGUUAUUUUUUUACAUUUAUAUAUCUAAUACACAUUUGCACAUCUGUAAACAUAAAUUUAAUAUUUUGUGGGCUAUUUUUUAUUUUAUUUAACCAGUUGUUGUAUAUUGAAAUAUGUUACAUUUUAUGCACUCCAAAUGUAAAUGUUUUGUUAUAUUGCAUCUUUAUUGUUUAAAACCAUUUAAUUAAUGUGGGUUUUUGUUAGCUUUUAUGUUAUUCUUGUAUUUUUUGGCUAUUUAUUUGUUUUUGUUUUUUGUUAUCCUUCUGUUAAUUUGCCAGAUUUUGACCUUCUAUU